UUAAGUUCAGCGGGUAUUCCUACCUGAUCCGAGGUCAACCUUGAUAUAAGGGGGUGUUUUACGGCCGGUACCCGACGCGUGCCCUGAGCGAGGAUGUUUACUGCACUCGGUACGACGACGAGCCCGCCACUGGGUUUGGGAGCCUGCGGCAGCCGCAGGGCUCCAACACAAGCACAGGCGCUUGAUGGUUGAAAUGACGC
This 200-nucleotide unclassified non-coding RNA is filed under the name fungal sp. RNAcentral describes it as "partial internal transcribed spacer 2". Lineage: Eukaryota; Fungi. The record is from RNAcentral.